AGUGGCGGACGGGUGAGUAACGCGUGAGAAUCUGCCUUGGGGUCGGGGACAACCACUGGAAACGGUGGCUAAUACCGGAUAAGCCGAUUGGUGAAAGAUUUAUUGCCCGAAGAGGAGCUCGCGUCUGAUUAGCUAGUUGGUGAGGUAAGAGCUCACCAAGGCAGCGAUCAGUAGCUGGUCUGAGAGGACGAUCAGCCACACUGGGACUGAGACACGGCCCAGACUCCUACGGGAGGCAGCAGUGGGGAAUUUUCCGCAAUGGGCGAAAGCCUGACGGAGCAAGACCGCGUGAGGGAGGAAGGCUCUUGGGUUGUAAACCUCUUUUCUCAGGGAAGAAGCUCUGACGGUACCUGAGGAAUCAGCCUCGGCUAACUCCGUGCCAGCAGCCGCGGUAAUACGGAGGAGGCAAGCGUUAUCCGGAAUUAUUGAGCGUAAAGCGUCCGCAGGUGGCGAUUCAAGUCUGCUGUCAAAGCACGGGGCUUAACUCCGUAAAGGCAGUGGAAACUGAAUAGCUAGAGUGCCGUAGGGGUAGAGGGAAUUCCCGGUGUAGCGGUGAAAUGCGUAGAGAUCGGGAAGAACAUCGGUGGCGAAAGCGCUCUACUGGACGGCAACUGACACUCAGGGACGAAAGCUAGGGGAGCGAAUGGGAUUAGAUACCCC
This 660-nucleotide ribosomal RNA is filed under the name uncultured bacterium. RNAcentral describes it as "bacterial SSU rRNA". It matches the Rfam family "Bacterial small subunit ribosomal RNA", at positions 94 to 788 of the family's 1533-position model. The record is from RNAcentral.